Molecule: RNA transcript, 14901 nt
Organism: Octodon degus (degu)
Lineage: Eukaryota; Metazoa; Chordata; Mammalia; Rodentia; Octodontidae
Gene: Stard9
Gene name: StAR related lipid transfer domain containing 9
Exons: 35
Source: RefSeq, a predicted model, not a curated record
CGGCGGCCGGGGCUGAGCUUGGAACCAGGACUGAGGAUGCGGCCACUGAACUGGUCUGCCGGUCUUGGGUGUGGCUGAAGGAUGGCGACCGUGCGGGUGGCCGUGAGGGUGAGGCCCCUCAGCAAGAGGGAGACCAAAGAAGGAGGAAAAAUUAUUGUGGAAAUUGAUGGCAAAGUGGCAAAAGUCAGAAAUUUAAAGGUGGGCAGUCGACCUGAUAGCUUUGGAGACUCCCGGGAGAAGGUUGUGGCAUUCAGCUUUGAUUACUGCUACUGGUCAGUUAACCCAGAGGACCCUCAGUAUGCAUCUCAAGAUAUGGUGUUCCAGGAUUUGGGGACUGAAGUAUUAUCUGGAGCUGCCAAAGGCUACAACAUCUGCCUUUUUGCCUAUGGACAGACAGGCUCUGGGAAGACAUAUACCAUGCUGGGGACCCCAGCCUCUGUUGGGCUGACACCACGGAUUUGUGAGGGUCUCUUCAUCAGAGAGGAAGACUGUGCCUCAUUAUUUUCUUCCUGUAGGAUAAAAGUGAGUUUCCUGGAAAUCUAUAAUGAACGGGUACGGGAUCUGCUAAAGCAGCCUGAUAAAAAAAAGUCCUAUACCCUGAGAGUCAGGGAGCAUCCAGAGAUGGGACCCUAUGUACAAGGUCUGUCUCAACAUGUAGUUACCAACUAUAACCAAGUAAUCCAACUCUUGGAGGAGGGAAUAGCAAACAGAAUCACAGCAGCCACCCAUGUUCACGAAGCCAGCAGCAGAUCCCAUGCCAUCUUCACCAUUUACUACUCACAGGCUAUUGUUAAGAACAACCUUCCCUCUGAGACUGCUAGCAAGAUCAACCUUGUAGACCUAGCAGGCAGUGAAAGAGCAGAUCCCAGUUACUGUAAGGACCGGAUUACUGAAGGAGCCAAUAUCAACAAGUCCCUUGUGACUCUGGGAAUUGUCAUCUCCACUUUAGCCCAGAACUCCCAAGCAUUCAGUAGCUGCCAGGGUUUCAGCGGUCCAGGCAGCAGCAGUUGUAGCGACAAUGGGACUGCUGGUGCUCCUGAGACCAGCAGUGGCGGGGGACCCUCACGGAGGCAGUCUUACAUCCCAUACCGGGACUCUGUGCUGACCUGGCUACUGAAGGACAGCCUUGGAGGCAACUCGAAGACCAUCAUGGUUGCCACUGUGUCUCCUGCACACACCAGCUACAGUGAGACCAUGAGCACACUGAGAUAUGCAUCCAAUGCCAAGAAUAUCAUCAAUAGGCCACGGGUCAAUGAGGAUGCAAAUGUGAAGCUCAUCAGAGAACUCAGAGAAGAGAUCAGGAGGCUGAAAGCCAUGCUGCUGAGCUUUGAGCUGAGAAACUUAAGUUCCUUAAGUGCUGAGGAUGAAGAUCUCAGGGAACUUGUUCUCCAGAGUGAAUUGAAGAUGGACAAGCUGACCAAAGACUGGACCCAAAAGUGGCAUGAUUGGCAGGCCCUUGUGGAACAUUACAGUGUGGACAUCAGCAGGAGGAGGGCUGGGGUGGUCAUUGAUUCCAGCCUGCCACACCUGAUGGCCUUGGAGGAUGAUGUGCUCAGCACGGGUGUUGUACUCUAUCAUCUCAAGGAGGGGACAACAAAAAUAGGAAGGAUUGACUCAGACCAGGAACAAGACAUUGUACUUCAGGGCCAGUGGAUUGAGAGAGACCACUGCACAAUCACCAGCGCCUGUGGGGUAGUUAUUCUCCGGCCUGUGCAGGGGGCACGCUGCACAGUCAAUGGCCGAGAGGUCACUGCCUCUUGCCGUCUGACACAAGGAGCUGUUAUAACUCUGGGGAAAGCUCAGAAGUUUCGAUUCAGCCAUCCAGCAGAGGCUGCUGUACUGCGGCGGCAAAGGCAGGUUGAAGAGGCCAUUGGCAGCAAUGGCUCUUUGGAAUGGUUGGACUUGGAUGCAGAUGUUACUGCCUCCCACUUGGGUCUCUGCCCUUUCCUUUGGAAGGAAAGGAGAGUGCUGGAAGAGCAGAGUGAGGAGGACCACGACCCACCAAGGGAUAGAGAGACAUCCCACAGAGCCCAGAUUCAGCAACAGCAGUACUGUGUGGAGGAUUUGAAGCAGCAGUUUCAAGCAGAGAAGAUUAGAGCUAAGAAGAGGACAGAAUUUGAUCAGACCUGCACCCAUCAAAAGACUGGAAAUAACCAGCAGUGGCUAUUUAGAGAAGAAACCUGGCUGGCCAAGUUACAGCAGCAGCAGCAGCAGCAGCAGCAACAACAACAACAACAACAACAAGAAAACAACUUUGGAGCAGAGAAAGAAUCUGAGGCCUCUGUGGCACCUGCUGCUCAGCUUCAGACAGAUUCUAAGGUUCCACUGACCCCACUGGUCCAAAGCCAGAAUAGGCUGGUGCAGCUGCAGAGCUGUGACCCUCAAGCAGAAGAACACAACAUCCCCAGAAAAAAGGGCUCAUUGCAGAUAGACGGAUUCAUCAAGAAGCAGAGGCUCCUGGAGGUUCAGGAGAGACUGGAGCAGCUUAGAGAACUGUGCUGGCCUCAGGAUGACAGCACCCACCAGUCCCCAUGCCGGGUCCCUACCUCUGAUACCACAGCCCCAGAGCCUCCACCUGGAAGCAGACAGACAAGUUGCAGUUCUCUGAGCUGCCAAAGGCUUUGUAGCCAGCAUUUGCCCCUGCUGCACAGUGUUUUUCUGAAUGGGGAUCUCUCUACCUUGUUAUCACCUAUGCCUGACCCUACUCACCAAGUGUCAGAGAAAGUCCCACUGGAAGACCAUGUUUCCCCAGCAGCUGCUUGCCUCCCAAGGAUGGAAUGUCUCCGUAAGAGUGGCUUUUGUCCCUCAGGCCAGGCACAGCUCUGCACAGCCAAGAAAGAUACCUCAACUCUAGGUACCCACCUUACCACAAGCCACAAGUCUGUCAACAUCCAGGAAAUGGAGACAGUGGGUAAGCAGCUCUCUCAGAUGAUACCGCAGGGGUUAGCAUCUCUAUGUGAAUCCACUGACAAUCUAAAGUCAAGACAUGGACCACAGACCUUCAUCUCUGCUACCCAGGCCAGAAGAGCUAAGGGUCUAACAGACUCUGGCAACACACAGGCUGUCUCACAAAAAGAAAGGAACCUUGGGCUCCAUAAGACUGCUAGGGGAGCCAGUUAUAGUUACUCUUAUCCCCGUGGACCUAAACAGGCAGCUGGGCUUGGAAGAAUGGCCAAGACUUUUCCGGUGGAAUCCAAACUGUCUUUUCCAGGCCGAGAAUCAAAAAGGCUUCAGAGGGUGCUGGCAGCGAGGGUCAGAGACAUUGCCAAAAACUACUCUCCUUUAUCUCAUGAUCAUCCUUUGAAGAGACAGCACAGUGCAGCAGACCCAGAUACCACAGCUUCACAUACAGACUCCAGCCCAGUGAUGGAUUGUUCAAGAGAAGCAGAUGAUUUAUCUGAUACAGAUAGUAACUACUCGGUGGAUUCUCUUUCCUGUGUCUAUGCCAAAGCCUCACUGACAGAACCACUGAUACCAGAGGACCCUCCAGGAAAGUGGUACCUCCCAGAGUCAGAGAACUCUGAAAGUCACAACAGCCAAAUACCUGAGGAUUCACUGGUUGAGAAGACAGGCCAGAGCUCCAAAGAAAGCCUAGAGGGCAGUCAUCCCAGCAAUGAACAUAGCCACUUGAAGAUCAGAACCAAAGCCUCUAUGGGGGGUUUUCCCAAGCCCUCCUACAGUGGCCUGCUUGCUCAGACUCAGAGGAGCUUUUCCUUAGACAGCCUGAUUGAUGCUGAUCGAGAAUUGGAAGAAGAUCGGCAAGAGGAGCCUUUCCUUGGUUCAACUGAGGAGAUGCCCACAGAGAUAUUUUGGCACCUGCAGAACUCCAUUCUGCCUGUAGUGGACCAGGAGGCAAUAUGCAGACCUGGGUCCAUUAGCCACAGAGCAGGGAUAGGGCUAAAUGCCAUCCUGCCAAUGAGUAGUUCAUUUUACCUUAAUUCUCGGGUCCAGCCUGGUAAGGAUCAGCCUGAAUCAGAGGUGGAGGCCAGCUACCCAGAAUGUUCUUUCCAAGACAUACAGCUUUCAAGAGAGAGCUCUCUAGUGUCUGUGGAUUCCUGGUUUUCCUGUGACUCUAAGAUCAAUCCUAGCAGCCCCCCUGGGAUAGAGGGUUCUUUACUUGUAAGUCCUGAUGUCCUGGAAUUCCAGCCCUGUGAUGAAAAAAGACCUGGAUACUUGCAGAAUAUUAAAGAACUAAAGCCAUCAGGUGCAAAAACAGUUCUGCCAGGUAGCUUGACACUGCCCCAAGGCAGUACUGAGCUACCUUGUAACAUAGAAGAUGUGCACACAACCUCCACUUCUGAUAUUUCCAAGUUGUCACUUUGGGGAACUCAAAGGCAUCUUCGGCCAGGAGCUGAUAGACUCUUUCAGGGAAGAGGUAGCCCUGAUACAACCCAGCAGGGAAACUCUGAAGUUUCUAAUUCUAGUGGGUCAAGUGGACCUGCUGCCUCUGCCACCUCAUUCAUUUAUGUGGGCAGCACCCAUGAAGGGAACUGGGCUGCCCUUCAGCAAAAGUGUGUUCUUGAACUCUCUCACCCUGUUUUGGACGCUGUUAGACAGCCCAGGCCACCCUUCCCCUGUCUUGAAGAAGACUCUAGCUCACUGGCUGAAAAUUCUAGUAAAGGAGGAGAUACACAGCUGCCAGUUGAAUCUGGGAUCUCCGGCAGUCCAAAUUUUAAUGACUUUCCAGUCCAUCUCUCCAAAACCAGACAUUUGAGAGCGGAGAAAGAACAGGACAGUUUGAGUGCCAAGGUGGAAAGUGCUUCAGAUUUCUUUAGUAAUAGUGAGAAAGAGGUAAGUUGUAAUGGAACUUAUUCAGCUGACUUGGAAUCACUGGCUUCUGGAUCUACAAAUGCACAGGUUUGUACCAAAGAGAACAAGAUAACAUAUUCCUUAAAAGAAGCCUGUGAAGUCAGACAGAAGAGCUCAAAAGAGUGCUGUCAGGGUAGCAGAAAACCUGGAGUGACAACUUCCUCUGCUACAUAUGUAUUCCAGAAGAAUGCUUGUUGCAGGAAUGUUACCCAGGCCACCAAAGCAGACUGUUGGCCCCAAGGCCAGUCUCUUCUCAGGAAAAAUAGUUCAGUUCAGCAAGAACAAUUAAAUUACGACAACCACCACUGCCAACAGGAAGAGAAGGCAGAUUACCAAAAAAGCUCUGCGGAGGUAGUUGGAAGGCACACAGAUGUUUCUUUUACUCUUCCAUCAGGUCCAGAACCGUGCCUCCACUCUCCUCCCUCUAAUCCUUUCUCAUCUUCCCCACAGCCACCUGUCUUGGAAACAUUCUAUGUGACCAAAAGCAGGGAUGCCCUGACAGAAACUGCCUUAGAGAUUCCAGCUUGCAGAGAAGUCUGGGUGCCUUCCCCACCUCCCCGGGAAGCCUGGGGCUUUAGGCAGGACCACCAAAUCCUAAAGAAAACUUACUUGAACAAUUUGCCAGUGCUGUUACGAAGCCAGAGUUCCAAGAUUGCCUUUUCUCAACAGGUCACUACAGAGAGGACAGUUGAUGUGAACACCAAGGAAGUUACUGGUGACUUAGGAGAAUGUGCUGAAAAUAUUAAAGAAGAAAGCCAUAAUUUAGUUCCUUUUCUUGUUGCUCAGAACAGACAUUUUCUCCCUUUUACUGGCACAGAAGUAUGUGAGUGUGAAAAUGAAGUUGGAAUUUUAAAUAAAAAGCACAGUUUUCCAGUAUGUAAUGAAAGAGAAAAGGCUCCUACACAGUGCUGUUGGAAUGUUUCUUCAGACAACACUGGAUCUGAGAAGCAUUUCCUUUUCAUUUGUGAACCUGAGUCAGGUAGGAAAGAAGAACAGACUCAGAUUCAGGCCCAUGAUAUCAGCAGACAAAUUCCUUUCACACCCAGGUCUGAUUUCACCUGUAAAACCACUGAUUUACACCUUGAGAAGGACAUGCCAGGUGAAACACCUGUUUUUAUGAAGUCCAGAUCAGUGUGUCAUAGAAUAAGUAGCCCAGGAAUUAUAGCCCAGGAUGAUUGUCCAACCCACAAGUGGGAAGGGAAAAGUGGAACUGGGCCCCUUGGAGAAGCUAGCCAUUCAAAGCUUGAACUUUCAGAGAGAAAGUCUACUUGUGAAAAAGUUUUAUCUGUUAUGUGCUAUCAGGAAAGCCGCCCCAGUGAAUGUCAGGGCCCUAGAGGGUCACAAGAAAUGUUAAACUCCAAAGAAGAAUUUUUGGGAAAGAAACAAUGUAAAGGAGUUAAUAAUGCUGAUGAAAUGGCUAGGCUAAUUAGGAGUGUUGUGCAACUGGAAAACGACAUCUUAGAAAUUGGAUCCAAGAAGAAUAAGCAGCUUCAUGCUUCCCACACACCAGGAGUUAGUGAGGAGGUUGUGGGCCAAGAGAGUGCUGACCAUGUCCUGAGGCCAGGAAGCUGUGGAAACCACUUGUCCUGUAAGAAUCAGUCAUCCUCGCCAAGACAGGCAGGUGAUGUUGUCUUUAAGGACAGUGAAGCUGGGAAAAUGGAGGCUAACAGAACCACUGGGAAUGAGAAACAGGUCCUGAAAAUCCCUCCAAGCCCUUUCAGAUCAAAGAAAUAUAUACAAGAGAGUCAGACUGUGGUAGAGCAUACAACCCUAGCUGGAGUGGACUGGUUCCCCAGGGACACAUGUGAUUCUUUAGGGAAAGGUGCAGCUUUCAAAGAGCCCCCCAACACUGCUCUUCACCAAAGGAGAAUAAAAGCAUUGUCUACACCUCCACCUUUGCAUCCACUGCCAGAGAGUUCUGGGAAGGAAGUUAGGCUGGUACAAGAAUCAGCAAACUUCAAAGAACAGCCUUGGGGCUUGGGAAAUCGUGAGGACCUAGAGACUAUGGAAGUUCUUCAAGAAAGCCAAAUUGCUAAGUGCAUAGGUAAUUCCAAGCCAGAGGGGCCAAGAGCUCAAGGUGAAGUUGAAGAAAUGGCCUUGCAAAUGGGAGGGGACCCAAAGGACAAAAGAAAUAUUAUCUCAUUGACUCAGAAACAUCCUGUCCCAAACCAGCGUUAUAUGUGCACAUAUUUUAGACAGGAGACUGCCUCCUCAUUACCAAGCCAGACAGAUUUUUCCAUAGCCCCUUCUAAUCGAGACCUGAGCAAUAACUUGUCCUUGCCUUCACCAAAGCUGCCAGGAUAUUGUUUUUAUGCCCCUGAUAAUGAAGGAAUUGCUUUAGUUGACCAUGUGCUAGAUCCCACAAUAGUGAAAAUUCCUGACAGUCCCUCAGAACAUGGAGUAGGAUGUGACAGCCAGAGUAGAGAGAACAAAAGCCCCCAUCUACAGGGAGACAUUAAAGGGGGCUCCUCCACAGCAUACUCGGUCUGGUGUGGGGAUGUGAGGCCCAGGGUCUUGGGAUUGCAUGGUCAGCGUAAUGCAUCAGAGAGUGUUCCCCUGGGGGCAGAAGAGAGGGUAAUAGCAAGCCCCAGCCCCCAGGACCAAGGAGCAGACCUUGAAACCACUUCUUUGGGUUUGAGUGCUCAGGAAAGUUAUGGCAAUGAAACUGAGGCAGCUAUACAAAAAGAAAUACAAGCCACUUCUUUGAAUACAGCCUCUAGGCAACUUGAAAAGAGGGUCAACUUCUCCUUAGAAGAAAGUGAUAACCAAGGCGGAGGAGCAAGGUGGAAGACACAGGAGGAGUCCGAGGACUUGGGCCCUAUCAGCAGAACUUGCUCAGCAUCUGUUUCUGUGCCAAGGGUGCCUGAUCCAGAGCCCAGGCUGUUGGAGACAUCUGGCCAUGCAUCCAUUUGCCUGGCUAUUUUGGAGGAAAUCAGACAGGCAAAGAUGUGGAGAAAGCACCCUAAUGACUUUGGGGCUGGGAGUGCAGUCCUUACUUACUGUGGAACUUCAGUAGAACCUGGAUGUUCUUCAGGGGCUUCUGGCAGGACUUACUGUGAGCAAAUGGACCAGUUAAUGCCAGGCAGGUCUAAGAAUGAUGGUGAAGCCCCAGAAUGCCAUGUGGCAUCUCUCUCUGCUACACCAGGACAACUGUUGGCUGAUGAAAGGAAAGCCCAAGCCACACCUGUCUGUAUAGAUGGCUCUGGACCUCUGCCCAGCCCUGAAAUGAACAGAGGGCCCCAGCUUCUUCCACAGUCUUCCUCUUAUGCUGUACCUGUUACAGGCAAAAGAUACUCUAGAGAUCAGAGGCAUUUCCAGGAAGCAAGAGAAGGGUAUACAGAUCACUGUAGUUCUUCUGGAAUCAUAGAGAAGGAAACAUCCAGAACUUUUUCCGAAACUGUGGAGGCAGACAGGAUUGUGGGAUCAGAAAAAGCAGUGCCUGCUUUAUCUUCUCAGGCCCCUCGUGGUGAUCCUGUGCCAAUACUAUAUGGGCAGAGCCAGUUAGCCACAUGGUGCACUGUAGAGGGUGUGUCUCCUAGCAGUUGCACUAGCAGCCCAGAGCACCAGGAACCUGAGGCUGUAGGUACUGCAUAUGAAGGAGGCUCAAGUAACUUCUUAGUUACUGCACAGGGAGGAAAAACUGCCCACUUUGAAAAUCAGUCUGUGGUCUGUAGUGUUGAGAAUUCAAGCUUUUCAGAGACUAAGCAAGAUCAUGCCCAAUGGCCUGAGGCUUCUACUGGCAUAGAAGCAGUAAGGGCAAAUCCAAGACAUCAGUGUGUGAUGGAGGAGAAUGUUUGGGUUAGUCUGACAGAAGCCUGUAGGCCUGACAGCAAAAAUUUCAGGCCAGCUCCACUGCUAGAUCAGAGACCUGGGCCAGACCCUAGGGGAGAUGGGGCUCUGUGUGGGGGUUCAGUGGAAACUGAAGAUUGCCUGGUCCCCUCUGAGAGCACAGAAGGCAGCAGGGCUCUCAACACAGUGAGGGAGGCAGAGGAAAGUAGAAUUCUUCCUUGCCAACAAUUGUGCUGUCAUCAGACCACCACUAUUCACACCUGUUAUGGAGAUGGUGACCCAGAGAUGAAUUCCCAGGCUACCUCGUGUCCUGUCCACCCACUUAACAUUGUGCCUUCCAGGGUUCAUGAACUAUGUGAGAUAGGAGAGACCUCUUUCAAGGAAGCUGAUAUACUCUUGGCACGUAGCUGUGAGUCUAAAGGCAUGGACCUUGGGCCAGCAGAUGGCAGCAUGCUUGAGCCCCCUGCUGCAGCUGCUGUCCAAUUGUCCACUCCAGGGUGCAACUCCCUUUGCACUUCCUAUGUUAGAACACAUUCUCUCACCCAGUCAGCUACUGAUGGGAGCUUAAGGACUGUAGGGGGUUCUGAGGAAGAGGCUGCUAAGAGGAAAGCUAGCAUAGAACUUGAGGCUGCCCCCUGCCCUGUAGGCACAUACUCUGAGCCACUGAGGAACCUCGGUGAUCAUUCUGUAGGUGACCACAAUGCACAGGUGUCUCAGACCAAGCUAGAGUCACCUACAGAAAUUCAGGGACCACACAACCUGACGUUAAGUGAAGCAUUUGUUGGGAGUGAGCACGGAUGCUUAGAAAAUACCAAAUGCCUUUCGGAAAAGCCACAACCUUCCACUGAAUCCAGGGAUCCUCCAGCCAAGUUUGUAGGGAAACACAUCAGUAGUCCUCAGGAUGAUAAUCCUUGGGAAGAUGAAGAACAACAGAGAGAUUCAGCUUUAGUAAGUGGUGAAGACCUUCCAAAGGGCAGGAAUUCUCUACUCACUGAUGUGGGUGUCUUAAAUGGCUGUCAGAUUAGAGGUGCUGGAAGAGAAGAGGUGGCUAUGAUCAAGUUUCCAGUGUCCCAGACUUUCUUGACAGGUUUUGAAGACCCAGCUUCUGUGCCGUUGGGGCAAAGUAAAGUACCACAACCUGCUGCCGAGAGAUCUGGUCAGCUUUACUCCAAUGAAAAGCAGCCAAAUCCCCAUCACAGGUGCUCGCUUCCUGUGAUUGCAGUCUUCUCUGGCCCUAAACAUUCUAAGCCCAAACCCAGACCUCAGUUCUCAGUGGUGAGCUCCUCUCGAUCUCUUCAGGAGCUAAACAUUAAGGUGGAGCCUCCUUCCCCUCCAGAUAAGAAUGCACAGAGGAUUCACCGACUGUGGAACCCACACAUCCAGGGCUAUUCCUCAGAAAAAAUGGUGACAGAAACACCUCUGAAGACUGAGGAGUCUAUUCCAACAGCCACAUCUAACGCGAGUGAUGGCCCUACACACCACAUGGCACUGAAAGGUGCCACCCCUCCUUAUCCACUGUCUUCCACAUUGUCUUGCAUGCCAACCCCUAAUUUCAUGAACAGUUGGAUGUCUGGAACUUUGGCUCCACAGGGAAAGCCAGAGAAACUGGGUGCCCAAGUUAGGUCAGAGAAUGGACAAGUAGACAAAGGAAUGUUGUACUUGGGCUCUAGUGAUAACAAUCCUUACAUCCAUCCAUGGUGCCCUGAGGGGCCUGUGCACAUUGGCUGGAAGCAUUAUGUGUUUGGCAGGGCACUUGAUGUCUCCUGUAGCCCAAAAGCCGGUGGUCCAAUGUCAUCAAAUGUAGCCUGGUGCUCCAGUAUGGACAACAACUUAGGAGAUGACAAACCCCCAUUCUCCUCCCACCUCAGCACUUACAGCCAAAUCCAGGACCUGUCAAGCACACACAGCAGGACUGAGAAUGUACAGGAUUCCAAUGAGGCCUGGAAUAUGUGGGGUGCCUCAUUUGCCUUGGGCAACAUUCUGAGUAGUCCUGACAAGAUCCCCCAGUUUAAGAGUCCAACUGAUGAAGCAGGCUGUCUAAAAAGUGAGCUCCCUUUGCCUGAAGGAAGUUCUGUAGGUGCAAUGGAUAAGAUUGUGCUGCUUUAUCCAUCUGAGACUGGCAACCCUCUGGCACAGGCCAUGAUGAACACCUAUGAACAGGGCACACAGACCCAGGGCUGCCAGCUCCACCAGAGCUGUGCUAAUGUCUUCUCUGCUCAGCCUGACACCAAUGUGGUAUCACCAUGUGACCUGGCCGCCUGGGCCAGCAUGCACAACCUGUCUCUCCACCUCUCACAGCUCCUGCAUAGCACCUCAGAGUUACUUGGAAGUCUCUCCCAGCCCAGUGUGGCCAAGGAACAGAACACCAAGAGGGACCCCACAGCUGGGGCCCUACAGGCCCUCAGGAUGAACACUGCAACUCAAACCAAUGUGGACAAGGACAGCCAGACUGACCUGGCCUCACCUGCUCUGCAUCUUCCUGCUGCAGAGGCCAAAACUCAGGAAGUCAGUGUAAUCCUUGAAGUGCUGAGCUCAGAUGCCACACCAGUUUCUCAAGAAAAGGGAGAUGUCACAGGAGCCCUUGAUGAGAGAGACAUUGAAGUGAUGUCAUGGAGAGCAACUGUGCCUUCCUAUCUUCAUGAAAAAAGUGCCUGCCGUAAACUGAGAAGCCCUCCAGUGCCUUCAUCUGACUUGAAGUUUCAGAAAACCCCUCAAGAGCAGAACCUCCCUUCUCUUGAUGCCUUCCAAGCUGGGGAUUCCUCUUGUGUGGUUGUCAACAGCCCCAGCCUAAGCACCUCUUGUACCCCAGAGCCCUUCCCCACUACCUCAGAGCCCACCCAAGAGCCUCAGGUCCAGAGGAGGCUGGGCCCCACGAGCACCUUAUUGGUGGACAGGGCGUCCUCUCCAAUCCUCACACUUAGUGCUGGCACCCAAGAGCUGGGUCCUCGCCCAGGCCUUUUGACCCUUUCAACUCCCUCAGCCUGCCCUCUGGAAGAUCACCAGACACUUGACUUCAGCCCAAGACCUCCAGAAGACAGUUGUUUUCAAGCCACGCAUGAGCCAGGUGGCUUCCAGACAGUAGAGGCUCUGGAUGGAGGAGGCAGUAGUGGGAACUUAUUCCUGGAAUUAAGCCCGUCAGGCAGCCCACCACAGAACCCGAGUGUCCAAGUUAGCUUCUUGGCACAGCCUCUUCAGCAGCCUAGGCCCAGGACUACCACUAGAGGCCAAAGCAGCCCACCACUUCCACCCCCAAGGCACUGCAGCCAGAGACUGACUGACAGCUUUGUAUCUGAAGAGGCAACUUCCCCAGAGCAUGGCCUACUGAGCAGUCAUUGGCAGAGCAGGCUUGAAAAUGGGGGUGAGAAUUCAGCACCUCCAGUAGAGCCACAACUCACUGCAGAUCUCUCCUCAUCAUGGAAAGGCCCCCAACACCUUAGCCCCUGUCCUGGUGCUGAGCUGACUGACCCUGCAGGCAUACAAGGUUCCACUGAUGGCUCACCUCAGGCCUGCGAACUUCAGGGAAUGAUGUGUUCCAGUUCCCAGAUGUGCGUGGCCCCCGAACAUCAGCAUUGCACCCUAAGGGAGCUCCCUGUACAUAACAAAUUUAGUAACUGGUGCGGGGUUCAGCAUAACUCUCCUAGGGACCUAGGUGUGAAUGAAGCGUUGGAGGCCAGCUCUGGAGAGCAGAAGCAAAUGCUCCCACAACCUCAUGACCAGCGCCUGGGUCCUGAGUGGUCCCCAAGGGAGCAGAUCUCCCUGCAAGGUGGGGCCCAGAGUACCCCACUCAGUGUAGAACUCGCAGAAGCAAAGCUGCACCAUGGCUUCGGGGAAGCAGAUGCCCUGCUGCAGGUGCUGCAGCAAGGGACAGGGGCAGCACUUGCUCCAGAUGAGGCUGCGAUGUCCACCUGGAAGGAACUCCAUGCACGGCAAAGACAAGCCAUUGAGACUGUCAAGAGUGAGCAGGCUGAGCGACUUCAGAACUUCUGUCGGACACGAAGCCUGAGUACCCAGAAACAGUUGAGCCUCCUGCCUAACAGGACUUUCCCCUCCUGGGACCUAGACUUGCCCAGCAAGCGCCGAGAAUACUUGCAGCAAUUGAGGAAGGAUGUUGUGGAAACCACCAGAAGCCCAGAGUCAGCACUGAGUUCCACUCACCCACCCACUGACAUGGAGCAGAUGCUACGUAACUAUCAGCAGGCCCGUGAGGAGGCCAAGGUGGAGAUUGCCCGGGCACGGGAGCAGCUGCAGGAGCGGACUGCACAGGAGAAGCUUCGAAUCCGCCAACACAUCAUCUCCCAGCUGCUGAGGGAAGAGGAAAAGCUACAUGCGCUGGCCAACUCCAGCUCCCCAUGCACCAGCUCCAAUGGCAGCCUCUCCUCUGGUGUUACCUCUGGUUACAAUAGCAGCCCGGCCUUGUCAGGCCAGCUCCAGUUCCCAGAGAGUGUGAGGGACUCGAACUUGCCUGAUUCCAGAGCCGCCUGGAUGGGGGAUGGGCGAAGCCAGACUGCCUUAAAGAGCAGUAACCUGUAUCUGAUUGGAUCUGCCCUGAAGAGCUCUCCCUACAGCCACCGAGGCUCCCUGGGCGGUUGCUGCUGCUCCCCAUCCAGCCUGUCUAGCUUGGGAACCUGCUUCUCCUCCUCCUACCAGGAUUUGGCUAAGCACAUCGUGGACACUGCCAUGGCCAAUGUAAUGACUGCUUGUUCCAAUAAUCUGCACAACCUGUUCAGCUGCCACGCAACAGCAGGCUGGAACUAUCAAGGUGAGGAGCAGGAGGUACAGCUUUACUACAAGGAAUUUUCUUCUACUCGGCAUGGCUUUCUGGGGGCAGGUGUUGUGGCUCAGCCGCUAUCUCAUGUGUGGGCAGCUGUCAGUGACCCAACCCUGUGGCCCCUGUAUCACAAGCCCAUCCAGACGGCAAGGCUGCAUCAGCGGGUGACCAACAGCAUCAGCUUGGUGUACCUGGUAUGCAAUGCCUCCCUGUGUGCGCUGAAGCAGCCGCGGGAUUUCUGUUGUGUCUGCGUAGAAGCCAAAGAGGUGCCUGCCUCAGUAGUGGGGUACCUGUCUAUAGUGGCAGCUCAGUCUGUAUAUGACACAUCCAUGCCAAGACCCAGCAAAAAAAUGGUCCGAGGGGAGAUCUUGCCUAGUGCCUGGAUCCUGCAGCCUGUCACCAUGGAAGGGAAGGAAAUUACCAGAGUCAUCUACUUGGCCCAGGUAGAACUGGGUGCUCCAGGCUUUCCCCCUCAUCUCCUGAGUUCCUUUAUCAAACAACAGCCCCUGAUCGUGGCCAGGCUGGCUUCCUUCCUUGGUAGCUAGCAUUGCCUUGUCAAGAUGGUGUUGCUGAGCUGAUGCCAUGGCCCUAAGCCUGGUAGGAUUUGGCCUGCACUCAAGACUCUGCACCUCUGAGUGACUCGCCUGUGACUGCUUCUUGAGCCCAAAGCCACCCAGUCACCAGGAACCACCAAGUGAAAAGAGAGAGGGCAACUAUAAAAAAUCUGCCAGAGUCUGGGGCUUGGCAGGCUUCUCUGCGCCAACCGAAGCAACUCAGCUUCCAGGGGCUGGCGACGCAGCUGCCAGGGGAGCCACGCGCGCGAGCAGCAACUUGGUCCGCUCACUUGGCAGCUUUACAGAAGCCCUUCACUUGACAUGUGCAACUUAAGAAUCUGGAAUCAAGUACGUGUGCCACUGUCAGCCAGGAUGGCUAGCACGCGCGGCUGGGAAUGAGAGCGCUGCCUGCCUAUGGGUUACAUUCACAGACAAUUUACAAUGUGUUUUCAUAUUAAAUUUGGUAUGAUCCAUUUUUCUUCGUUAGUCACUCAAAUGACUUUAAGCUAUGCAAGAUUACUAGGUAGAGUUUAGUAUUUCUACCAGUUCAAAGAUCCUAAAGGGCUAUCAGCCUAAUCCAGAAGAAAAGGGAUUGAACUGCUACUUGUUUUUGUUUUACUUGCUAUGCAGUUCAGGCUGGCCUUGAACUUCCUAUGUAGAGCACAGGUUGGUCUCGAACUCACAGCAAUCCUCCUGCAUCAGCCUUCUGAGUGCUUGGAUCACAGGGUGUGGUGAGUGGUUUGAACUGCUGCUACCUCUAUCUUCUGUUCCUCCCAAGUCAUCUCUGAGACUUGGGGCUGGGGAGAUAGCUCAGUAGAAUAAGCGCUUUCCUGACAAGCACAGGGACCUGAGUUCAAUCCCUGUACCAAAAAAAAAAAAAAGUUUGCCAAGUAAUUUCUGAGACUAGAGAGAAGGUAAAGGCAAGUGGGACUUGGUAACCCACCCUGCUGUUGUGAUAAGAAAUAGCAGGAGUCAUUUUAG